UCCAGACUCCUACGGGAGGCAGCAGUGAGGAAUAUUGGUCAAUGGCCGCAGGGCUGAACCAGCCAAGUCGCGUGAGGGAUGACGGUCCUAUGGAUUGUAAACCUCUUUUGUCAGGGAGCAAAGGGCGCCACGUGUGGCGUUUUGCGAGUACCUGAAGAAAAAGCAUCGGCUAACUCCGUGCCAGCAGCCGCGGUAAUACGGAGGAUGCGAGCGUUAUCCGGAUUUAUUGGGUUUAAAGGGUGCGCAGGCGGAAUGUCAAGUCAGCGGUAAAAUUUCGGGGCUCAACCCCGUCGUGCCGUUGAAACUGGCGUUCUGGAGUGAGCGAGAAGUAUGCGGAAUGCGUGGUGUAGCGGUGAAAUGCAUAGAUAUCACGCAGAACUCCGAUUGCGAAGGCAGCAUACCGGCGCUCAACUGACGCUCAUGCACGAAAGCGUGGGUAUCGAACAGGAUUAGAUACCCUUGUACA
RNAcentral lists this ribosomal RNA (466 nucleotides) under uncultured bacterium. Its description in RNAcentral is "bacterial SSU rRNA". It matches the Rfam family "Bacterial small subunit ribosomal RNA", at positions 330 to 794 of the family's 1533-position model. The record is from RNAcentral.